GUGGGGAAUUUUGGACAAUGGGGGCAACCCUGAUCCAGCCAUGCCGCGUGCGGGAAGAAGGCCUUCGGGUUGUAAACCGCUUUUGUCAGGGAAGAAAUCCUUUGGGUUAAUACCUCGGAGGGAUGACGGUACCUGAAGAAUAAGCACCGGCUAACUACGUGCCAGCAGCCGCGGUAAUACGUAGGGUGCGAGCGUUAAUCGGAAUUACUGGGCGUAAAGCGUGCGCAGGCGGUUUUGUAAGAUCGAUGUGAAAUCCCCGGGCUCAACCUGGGAACUGCAUUGGUGACUGCAAGGCUGGAGUGCGGCAGAGGGGGAUGGAAUUCCGCGUGUAGCAGUGAAAUGCGUAGAUAUGCGGAGGAACACCGAUGGAGAAGGCAAUCCCCUGGGCCUGCACUGACGCUCAUGCACGAAAGCGUGGGGAGCAAACAGGAUUAGAAACCCUAGUAGUCC
Molecule: ribosomal RNA, 450 nt
Filed under: uncultured bacterium
Lineage: Bacteria
Description: partial 16S ribosomal RNA
Rfam family: Bacterial small subunit ribosomal RNA
Source: RNAcentral